GAUGAACGCUGGCGGCGUGCCUAACACAUGCAAGUCGAGCGAACAGACGAGGAGUUUGCUCCUCUGACGUUAGCGGCGGACGGGUGAGUAACACGUGGAUAACCCACCUAUAAGACUGGGAUAAUUUCGGGAAACCGGAGCUAAUACCGGAUAAUAUAUUGAACCGCAUGGUUCAAUAGUGAAAGACGGUUUUGCUGUCACUUAUAGAUGGAUCCGCGCCGCAUUAGCUAGUUGGUAAGGUAACGGCUUACCAAGGCAACGAUGCGUAGCCGACCUGAGAGGGUGAUCGGCCACACUGGAACGGAGACACGGUCCAGACUCCUACGGGAGGUAGCAGUAGGGAAUCUUCCGCAAUGGGCGAAAGCCUGACGGAGCAACGCCGCGUGAGUGAUGAAGGUCUUCGGAUCGUAAAACUCUGUUAUUAGGGAAGAACAAAUGUGUAAGUAACUAUGCACGUCUUGACGGUACCUAAUCAGAAAGCCACGGCUAACUACGUG
RNAcentral lists this ribosomal RNA (497 nucleotides) under uncultured bacterium. RNAcentral's name for it is "partial 16S ribosomal RNA". It matches the Rfam family "Bacterial small subunit ribosomal RNA", at positions 28 to 507 of the family's 1533-position model. The record is from RNAcentral.